CAGCAUGAUGGGGAAAUUUUUUAUGAGGUCUUUUAAUCUCUCCCAUGCCUCAUGGAACUGUUCACUAUCGUGCUGUGAAAAGCUAGUGAGAGCUCGUCUUAUGUGG
RNAcentral lists this small nucleolar RNA (106 nucleotides) under Cephalotus follicularis. RNAcentral's name for it is "Plant small nucleolar RNA R71". It matches the Rfam family "Plant small nucleolar RNA R71". From Rfam's summary of the family: R71 is a member of the C/D box family of snoRNAs containing the C (UGAUGA) and D (CUGA) box motifs. Multiple nearly identical copies of this snoRNA have been identified in Arabidopsis, and it is thought to function as a 2'-O-ribose methylation guide for 18S ribosomal RNA. Lineage: Eukaryota; Viridiplantae; Streptophyta; Magnoliopsida; Oxalidales; Cephalotaceae. The record is from Rfam by way of RNAcentral.